AUUAAACGCUGGCGGCAUGCCUUACACAUGCAAGUCGAACGGCAGCACGGGGGCAACCUUGGUGGCGAGUGGCGAACGGGUGAGUAAAGCAUCGGAACGUGCCCUGGAGUGGGGGAUAACGUAGCGAAAGUUACGCUAAUACCGCAUAUUCUGUGAGCAGGAAAGCAGGGGAUCGCAAGACCUUGCGCUCUGGGAGCGGCCGAUGUCGGAUUAGCUAGUUGGUGGGGUAAAGGCCUACCAAGGCGACGAUCCGUAGCGGGUCUGAGAGGAUGAUCCGCCACACUGGGACUGAGACACGGCCCAGACUCCUACGGGAGGCAGCAGUGGGGAAUUUUGGGACAAUGGGCGAAAGCCUGAUCCAGCCAUGCCGCGUGAGUGAAGAAGGCCU
This 388-nucleotide ribosomal RNA is filed under the name uncultured bacterium. Its description in RNAcentral is "bacterial SSU rRNA". It matches the Rfam family "Bacterial small subunit ribosomal RNA", at positions 29 to 417 of the family's 1533-position model. The record is from RNAcentral.